Molecule: long non-coding RNA, 295 nt
Organism: Daktulosphaira vitifoliae (grape phylloxera)
Lineage: Eukaryota; Metazoa; Arthropoda; Insecta; Hemiptera; Phylloxeridae
Exons: 3
Source: RefSeq, a predicted model, not a curated record
AUUGGCCGCACGUGGAUAAACUUUUAAUUAACAGGAUGCGAUUCUUAUGUUUUACCAACACUGAUGUUGAAUUAUCAUUAGACUGAAUAAACAAAAGUAUGUCAGAAAAUAUUUUGGAACCUCAACUUACAGUAAGUAUUCUAUACGGACCACAUAACGUUCUUGGUUUUGUCAAACACCGCACAGAAAGAUUAGAUGCUAUUGACGAUGCGUUGACUAAACUUGGAUUUAAAGUUAAUAAGAUUCAGUGGCAUUUUCCUGAAAUGGUUGCGUUUUCACUCGAGAAUGAAAUUGU